UUAGGAAUAUUCGUCAAUGGGGGAAACCCUGAACGAGCAAUGCCGCGUGAAGGAAGACGGUCCUAUGGAUUGUAAACUUCUGUUGUUAGGGAAGAACGACCUAAGUAGGAAAUGACUUAGGAGUGACGGUACCUUUCAAGAAAGCUCCGGCUAACUACGUGCCAGCAGCCGCGGUAAUACGUAGGGAGCGAGCGUUAUCCGGAAUUAUUGGGUGUAAAGGGUGCGUAGGCGGCAUAAUAAGUCAGUGGUGAAAGCCCGGAGCUUAACUCCGGUAAGCCAUUGAAACUGUUAAGCUUGAGUAUGGUAGAGGCAAGCGGAAUUUCUAGUGUAGCGGUAAAAUGCGUAGAUAUUAGAAGGAACACCAGUGGCGAAGGCGGCUUGCUGGGCCAAAACUGACGCUGAGGCACGAAAGCGUGGGGAGCAAAUAGG
This 429-nucleotide ribosomal RNA is filed under the name uncultured bacterium. RNAcentral describes it as "bacterial SSU rRNA". It matches the Rfam family "Bacterial small subunit ribosomal RNA", at positions 355 to 776 of the family's 1533-position model. The record is from RNAcentral.